This 429-nucleotide ribosomal RNA is filed under the name uncultured Buttiauxella sp. RNAcentral describes it as "bacterial SSU rRNA". It matches the Rfam family "Bacterial small subunit ribosomal RNA", at positions 355 to 776 of the family's 1533-position model. The record is from RNAcentral. Lineage: Bacteria; Pseudomonadati; Pseudomonadota; Gammaproteobacteria; Enterobacterales; Enterobacteriaceae.
UGGGGAAUAUUGCACAAUGGGCGCAAGCCUGAUGCAGCCAUGCCGCGUGUAUGAAGAAGGCCUUCGGGUUGUAAAGUACUUUCAGCGAGGAGGAAGGCAUUGUGGUUAAUAACCGCAGUGAUUGACGUUACUCGCAGAAGAAGCACCGGCUAACUCCGUGCCAGCAGCCGCGGUAAUACGGAGGGUGCAAGCGUUAAUCGGAAUUACUGGGCGUAAAGCGCACGCAGGCGGUCUGUCAAGUCGGAUGUGAAAUCCCCGGGCUCAACCUGGGAACUGCAUCCGAAACUGGCAGGCUAGAGUCUUGUAGAGGGGGGUAGAAUUCCAGGUGUAGCGGUGAAAUGCGUAGAGAUCUGGAGGAAUACCGGUGGCGAAGGCGGCCCCCUGGACAAAGACUGACGCUCAGGUGCGAAAGCGUGGGGAGCAAACAGG